Felis catus (domestic cat) is the source of this 13437-nucleotide long non-coding RNA. RefSeq lists it as uncharacterized. The record is from RefSeq and is a predicted model, not a curated record. The transcript is spliced from 15 exons. NCBI's taxonomy places the organism in Eukaryota, Metazoa, Chordata, Mammalia, Carnivora, Felidae.
UCUGGUGUUUCUGACAAAAUGGGUACUCCUAUCCUUUGAGAGACUUAAGGUUUCUCAAGUUGCUGAGUUUUCAACUAGGCCAGGGGCCUCUCAAUGAAAAUCAUAAAACCACUGGCAAAUUUCUAAGGGAUAACUGGGCUUUCAGUUUGCUUCUUUUAUGAGAAAAAGAAGAGAAUCAAACAUUAGAAAUAUUAGCUUUCUAUUUUACCCGCCAUUUUUCUCAGAGGGAGAGGCCAGGCAUGGUAUUCUGUAUUGUUAUCAAGGAAAUUCUGUGUGUCUGCACCCCUGCUUUCAGUGAGAAGUGACCAGAGAAGGCUGAGUGUGUUUUAUUUCUAUUUUCGUGACAAAGAUUAUGUAGUUGUCAUUUUUCACCAACUGUCUUUCUUACUGGACCUUGAAAAUGGCAUUGCUGGAGCUGGCCCUCGAGGAGUUAAACCAAACAGGUCCCCUUUCUCCAUCAGCCCGGUUGAGUGAGUUCUCUGACCAGAGUUGCACACUGUUGUAAGGACGCUCAGAGGUGACUGAGGGGUAAAGGAUGUGUCAUCCUUUGCUAGAAUAAUCGGUGUUUAAAACAUCUUCUAGGACGUUUUCUACUCUGUUCUUUAGGCCUGCUUAAGAACUCUGCUCCAAGAGAAACAUAUCGGAAGAUGAUCCAUGAAGUGAAAUUCUACCCCAUGUUUUUUCUUCUACUUUCAUGAGAAAAAUGAUUGUACCUUCAGAUGCGACUCAGCCAUUUCAUAUGGCUUCUCUGACUGGUGAAGAGAGAUCUCUCUUUUAAGCCAGUGGUUCUCAAACCUGAGCCUACAUCUGAAUCUAGUGGAAGGUCUUGUUAAAACACAGAUCAUCAAGUCCCACCAUGAGGCUUUCUGAUUUAGUAGGUUUGGGACCAGGUCUGAGAACUUAUAUUUCUAACAAGUUCCCAGGAGAUGCAGACGCUCCUGGACACGCUCUUUGAGACCCUCUAUUCUAAGCAAACUUGUGAGUUAAGUGAACAUGCUUCUUCUAAAGUUUCUGAAAUAUCUAGGUUUUUUCAUAGCACAGUUUCACAGCUAAGUGAAAAUCGGGCCUCUAGUUGGAAAAGGAAGGCCAUAAUAACAUAGGCUGAUGGAGCGCUCAUGAGGAAGUUCGAAAUUAAACAGGAUGAUCCAUUUCAUAGAGCACACACCUGAAUGAUUCCUUUGACUACAGGGUUCAAGGCACCUCGGCUGUGAAGUUAGGCAUAUCAUAAAUGAGACCCAGUGUGACCUUGUGGUAUGUCUUGUCUUCCAAAUAUGGGCUUCAUUAGGGCACCCCUGGGGGAGUACAUUGUAAUAGCUCUGGCGAUAUGUGCAAGGGGAUAGUACUGCCUUCCUCAGGCUGCAUCUCUUUUGGCGUUAGCUUUGGCGUAUGCCUGGACAAGGACCUGGAAGUUGUUUCUCAAAACAACCAAAGCACUCAAACACAUAGGCUUUCAAAGUGGCCAUUUCCUUUGAGGUUCCUCCCCUUCCCACUUUCGAAGGGGCUGGAGAAAAUGGCUCUGCCUCUAGCUAUGCGGUAUCAUCAUAGAUGGAAGCUCAUUUUCUUCGCUAGGGUUAAGCCUGGUUAAAGAGGAGAAGACCACUGUGCAUGCACAGCCUGUCCCCAGGAAGACUUGUCAGCCUACGCUAUACAAAGAUGGAAAUCAAGCUGGUUCACUGUGGAAUCCAAGGCCAGGGUCAGAGUUUCCGCCGGCCUGCCUGCAGUUGAAGGGGUCCUAUCACAGGGAACAGCGCCCCACUUCCUCCUUCGAAUGGUGUCCUGAACAACAAGGCCUUGAGCCUCAGGAUCUACACGGGGAGGAAAUGAGAACUUGUGCCAAAUCAGGCAGUUGCCUGAUUCCUCUUGUGGCGGAGGAACCACAAUGAGGUCAGUCCCCUGCAACUGUCCCCUGGGACAGCUCGGUGAACUCCUGGACUACCAGACACUGCCGGCUCCCCAUCUGAAUGCUGGAUCCGAAGUCAAGCUGGUUUGUUUUUGACAGAGUGGCCUUUGAAUUCUUAAAAUAUGUUCUGACUGGUGUCCAGCCAGUGGGAGAUGUGAUUACAGUAAUUGAUGGGCCUAUGAUAGACACAGCUCUCUGAAAAUGCAGUGUUGAGUGUUUUGAAAGGGAUUCCAUGAACUCUUAUUUAUACAUGACUCCGGUUUUCUGUAUGUGAAAGGCUUGUGGCUAAUGUGUCAAAUGAGGACAACCAAACCACCAAGGUCUUUUCCCUGGAAGAUCACAGUAGAAGAAUUGAGGGCUAAGAAAAUGCAGGCAUUUGAGACAAUAUGGUCAUUGUUGUAAGAUAAUCUCCUUUACAUUUUCUUUAAAAAAAAAUUUUUUUUUAAUUGUUUGAUGGUUGGGGUAGACAGAGAUAAAAGUAAGGCAAAAAUGUACACUACAUUCAAAAUCUGGGUCACAUCUACCCAUAUCCUACGUUCCUGGAACAUCUAAUUUUGUUAAAAGGUUAAAGCUGAGAAUUUCAGAGUUGAAUAUCUUCCUUAGCAUUCAGAAACAGAAACUUCAAAAAUUUAUGAAAGCAAAUACAGAAAGAACAGAAAGUAUGAGCUAUAUCUUCAACUAUCUGAGGUCAAGGCUUUUUGGUGUAGUUGUUCUUUCCAUUUUAUUAGUGAGUGUUUUUGUAUUCUUGAUUUAAUGGGUUUAUUGUCGAAGUUUCUAUUAUUUUAAUUUCUCUCAUCUACUCAGGAGGAACAGUAAGCAAACCCAAGGCAAUAUAGAUGAUGUUCUCAACUGUUCAGUUUUAUCCAGAAUCUGCCUUCAGUGGUGACCAGGUAGCUUAUUCCAGCCACAUGGCUACUAAUACUUAGAUGCUCCAUAUUCUUUGCUUGUGAUGUAACAAUGCAGUAGAAACCUAGGGAGAAAAUUGACCCCUCGAAUGAAAGUUUCUUCGAAUCUGGCAUUUUGUUGUUUAUCUGUAAAGUUAAUUUUACCUCUGUGUUUCUACCACUUUUAGAAAAGCCACUGGGAAAUAUUUAACUAUUUCAGUGUACCUUAAUUAUCAAAACAGGAGUGUGUUUGUUAUGGCAGUGCUGAUGACAAAGUGCCACAGCACUUCCAUAGUCUGGAGAGAAUUAGGAUAUCAUUAUAGUCCUCUCCAGUCAUUCCAGAAUGAGAUCAGAAGAGAUUGUCAUCCUCUUUGCAAAUGAGAAACAGGUAUAGGUGUGAAGAGACCUGGCCAUGACCAUUCAGCAAAUGAAAUGUCCACUGGAAGAUGGGGUUGACCUCUUAUGCAUCAGGGAGGACUUCUUACCCUGGACAAGAGCAUGAGGUCCACCAAGACACUUGGAAGAAACACAUCAUCUUUCCUGGAUGUUCUAAUUUGGGGGCCCAUCAAUAUAUGGCAUUUGCUUCAUGUGCUUGCUGAAAACUAGUUGAUGAAAUUGUUCCCACACAGCCUGCAUGGAUGCCAGUUGCAUGUGGGCAAGUUGAGCCAGAGAUGUGGCGUGAUUAUGUCAUAACAGGCGGUCUCUGCUCUGAAGCUCUGUCAGUCGGGCCCGUGCAUUUCAUGCCACCAGCUUGCAGUCGUGCUUCUCCACCCAGCGAUGGCUCCUUAGGCAGCAGGGCUGCUGUACCAAUGGGCUACACCCUGAGUGGCUGACAGAACAGAAAUUCACCACCUCAGUUCCGGAGGCCAGAAGUCUGAGAUCAAGGCAUUGGCAAGAGGCUGAAGAACAGAGAACGGCUUCCGGCUGUCUGGUUUCCUUCGGGCCAAGGUCUCUGGGCAAGGUGCUUUCCAAGCCUGUGUAACCAAGCAGAAAUCCCUAGGGAGUGUAUAAAUUCAAGUUUCUGCCAUGCAGGAGAGGAAACUGCCAUACCCACAAAUGCCUCAUCCACAGCCAACUUGACAUUCUUCACAGUGAGCCAUAAAGAAGCGGAGUCUCAAACAGUCUCUCAAUGGCUUGAGAAAGUCACCCACGUUCACAGAGGCGACUCUGAUCGCCAUCAAAAUAAGAAGAUUGAGAAUAUGAGGCAAACGACAAUGGUCCCUCCUCUGGGGGUUCGCUUUCUGCGGUUUUGGGUACCUGCAGCCAAGCCCGGUCGGGAAGCAGGUGAUCGAUCCUCCUCCUGACAAAUUGGCGGAUGAUCCAUAGCGCCUAACGCCACGUCUCAGCGCCUUCCGUCGUCCACCUGCCUCCGUCUCAUUGUCUCAUCACGUAGGCAUUUAAUCAUCUCACAUCACCGCAAGAAGGGCCUGCCCCAUGAGAACACUGGAACAUCUGGUUGAUGUCUGCACCUGGAAAGGGCUGAAGCAACCGACUGGCAAAAAUCCUGCACACAUGACUCUCAGCAUGGAUAUAGAUGAGAAAACUAAAGCUCAGAGAGGUCAAGCAACUUUCCCAGGACGCCUCAGCUAGUCAGUGCAAGAACUGAACAUAAAUCCACGUCUACCCACGUAACUCCAGCGCCUUCCCCCUAAAUCAACCUUUUUUUCUGGAUUGCUUGUUUUUUUUUUUUUUUCUUUUCUUUUUGUUCACUGUGGAGACCUGAAGAAGAAUCCGGUGGUCCUCGGUCCUGAAAAGGGUCUACCAGAAUUCAGAGGAUCUUGUGUCUCUUGCAUUCAAAGCCAUGGCUCCUGGCAGCUGGGACCUGGGCCUCACCACGUGCACCACGCGUCGCUGGCUUCCAGGUGCCAGGGGCUUGGGCCGAGGCCACACAGUUGUCUGCACGGGGCCCGGCCCCACCGCUGGCUGUCUGGAGUGAGCGCCCGGGAUGGAUCCUCUCCGUCUGCCAGGCUGUUUUCCUCAUCCAUCUGCCUUGUUGGCUUUUAAUGCAAGCAGGAAACAAAACUGAAAAAAGAGGAAAUCGAUGCUUCACAGAAAAGGGACAACAUCUUCCUUUAGCCAGUGGGGGGUCUGAGGAGGGGCGCGGUGACUAAGGUUUGCGGGGCGCUGUUACCCGCUGGUGAGGGGCUACAGAAGCCAGCUGCGGAUCAGGCCGUGCCACCGGUGCCUGCGAGUGGCUGAUGCGGAGGCCUCUUGGCGGCUGGGGGAGGUGGCACGAGCUGUCAGCUUCGAGCAGGAAGCCAACCCAGCCCGCGGCACCCGGAGGGCGAACAGUUGAAUGAAACACACACUUGGUGAGGAUGUUCGGCUUACAGAUGUCACUAAGCUGAAGCCGUGAUCGCUAGGAGCCAAUAAAUCGCGGCUUGCGGCCUUGGACCCCACCGACCUGACGCUCUCUUUCCUCACCUGCGGCCGAGAAGGGAUACGGGAUAAGCUGCUUCUUGGCCGCAAGUCCUGGGAAUACUAUUUUGUGUUUGGAAACUGCCAGAGAAUCACUGAUGAGCCAGUCCAUUGCGCCGAGUACGUUGGUCGUGGUGGGCUCCCUUCCGGUGACUGAGGCAGAAGCCAGGGAGAGCACAAGUUCUGGUGGAAUGAACUUCACCCUUGCUUGGGAAUCAACAUGGGAAAUACAAUAGGGUGCAUUUGAGAAACAGUAUCCCCGAUGUCUACGAAAGGCCAGGCAGGUGCCAAUCACUUUGAUUCGAUUCUCCUAACAACCCUGUCCACAAACUCAGUUUACAGCUGACACAACGCAGGCAGAGAGACGGAAUGAUUUGUCUGAGGUCAUACGGAAUGAUUAGUGCUGCAGAACCGUGAUUUAGACCCAGACCUCCCAGACUGCAAAAUGCUGGCCGAGAGAAGCUACUUGCAGACGGCCACGGCCAGCACUCAGAAGUGGAGAACAUUGUUUUGGAGUCAAAGAGACGGGCCCCAGAGGCAGGCAGGAAGAGUAUCAGACUUAGCAACAUUGCCAGCUUCCACAAACCAGCUGAUGACCCAUGUGAGCCCAGAAUGGAAAAGACUGUCACAUGUUGGGUGCCUGGCCUGGACCUCACAUCAGGUGGUAUCGAUCCCAGAUUCGUCUCCCGAGGCCCUUCCAAUGCGCUUACCUACCUGGAGCCUCUCGCUGGGACAGGCACAAAGAACAGGACCUAAGAAUUCCAUUUCUAAGAAUAAUUUUGUGUAAGGAAAACCUCCCAGUGAAAAUGGUCUGAUGAAAUGUGCUUAGUUUGGCUUUGGCCGAGCUCCUCGUCGUCCUAAACGAGUGCACAAAAACACGCACAAACAAUAUUUGCUACCGCCUGAAAAGUGUCACCCCGCAUUUACGGCAAAAGCAAUGGAGGAGAUUGAGAAGUGGAGACUGGCCCCUAAGAAGAGCUCCGCUUACAUAAAAGAGGAGGGCCGAAGGAGGUGUGGACUGCUGCCACCAAGCGGUGAGCCACGUAAGCCUGAUGGCUGCCAAGAGCCCUCACUUAUCCGGAACCCAGCCUGGUCCCUGGGGAAGGUGGACAGGAAGAGGAGGAAAGUGAAGAAGACGCCAGUGCCGCCAAAGUCACCGUUAGGAAAAGACGCGUCCUAAAGCCGAAUGUGCUUUUUAUUCGGAGAACGCCGCAUCGGGACCUCAUUCGUGCUGUUUUAAGGCCCGAUUCUAACAAGCUUAGUUUUCAAACCCUAUAGCACGUUAGAAUCAAGGAAUUAGCACGCGAAGAAAGCCAGUGAACACACUACAUAUUUAUUUUAGUCUUAACAAACACCAAUAGCAACCAACGCGACACUGGUUACGGACUCAAUUUUAAGGAUGAUGAAACAGGUUCAGAGAAGGUCAGCCAGUAAGUGAUCAAGUCUGUCUUCACAUUCAGGGUUCUGGCCUCAGAGCUCAUGUCUCUUCCUUUUCUCCCCCUCGCCUUUCCAAAGACAGGCACGCCGAGAAGCAAGCCUUCAUGGCAGCACAAUGACAGGGCAAGGGCGGGAGACAGCAUGGAAUCAGUAUUGAAAAUUUGCCGCACCCUGGGAUGAUCCGGUAUAGAGGAAAAUGGCCUCCUCGGUUCCCAAAUGCGUCUAUUUUAGAGGAUAGUCGUCAUUGAUUUGCAUCAAUAUGUCCAAAUGCGUCAACUUUCUCGCUGUAAAGAGUAGGGAGAAAGAAUCCUGGGGGGGGGGGGAUACAGGUUCAGGGGAUCCAGGCGUAGCUUUGCCUUUCACUGGCUGUGGGAACUUAGCCAUGUUACAUCACCUCAUUGCGCCUCUGUUUCCUCAUCUGAAAAAUUAACAUAAUUAUUCCGCCUACCUCAUGGAGCUGGUUCAGGAGGAUUCAAUGAGGCAAUUCGUAGAAAUAGUUAAAGCUGUACCUGACGCUUAGGAGGCAUGACUUAUGAAGCAUAGACGCUUUAGAGAGGUAAACGCUUACCUCCCGAAAGGACUAAAUCUGACUUCUUAUUUAAAUUGCUCAUCUGUCCAUUCAUUCAUUCAACACACAUUCACUAAGUCCAUAUGAUGAGCCAGCAGCGGGUGGCCACCAGGCAAACAAAUAUAAAUAAACUACCGCUCUUCGCCAGUAGGAGCUCAGACGUGUAAACAAAAAAUCUGCCGCGAUGAGGGAGGUGCUGGGAGAGCAUUUCUGCGGGAACACGGAUACGGGAACGUGCAGCCUCCUACCUCGCCCUGGAGGAGUCAGGAUGGCCGCCCGGAAGUGAGGUUCCACAGAAGGUGAAGAGGGAAAAGGCAUUCCAAUGGAGGACACAGCAUGUUUAAGCAAAGGCCCAAAUGGAGGAAGAGCAGAUCCCCUGUGGAGGAUACAGAACACGCUAAUAGAAGCCAGAUCUUUUUGGUUAGUUUUGAUUGAGCUUCAUGGAGUUAUAACUCUGACAGUGGUAUUGUCAUUAAGAGGAGAAUGGUUUACUGUCCAAACUGGAAAUGGUGUCUUCUUGUAUGGGAUUGCAGCUGGAAUAAAGGGAGUGAAGACGAACAGAAAAGCAGGCACCUGGCUCUUCUUCCUUAUUCUACACUUCUGAGUGAGUUCUGAUCCCUCCCAGCCUCAAUUUCCCCAUUGCUAUGGGAACUGAAAUCAAUCCUACGGCCCACACUGUCUCCUGCAAAUGAGCUGGAUGAGUGUUCACCACCCUGAGCCCUCCAAUAUCCAGCACUGAAAAUUUCAGUUGUAAUUGCCGGUAUUACUCAGACAAGGACAAGAAAUAUUUCCAGUUCUGGGAAGAGCAGGGCUAACAGCUGUAGCUGAACACGAGAUGAGGGAGGAUGACACACCACAGACGUGCCCAGCUCUCGGGUGCUCCGCAGGGAACCUGGGCAGAAAAUGGCGGCCCCCGUCAGGCAUUUAAAUCUGUGCUUGCUGAUUCAGUCACACAUACCGGUGGUUAAGGCUCCUGUCUGUGCACCAUCACAGAAAGGAUAGAGUUUCUCGACUCCUGUCAACUCACGUCCCACCUCAGAGGGCUGGCCCUCAGCACAGCGUUGGUCAAAACGUGACAUUCCCUGAGACAUUGGGAGCUCCAACGUUUAUCAUAUGUUCCAGCUUUGCUUCUUUGAUCAGAGAAGAUCCCCAAAGAGGGAGUCAUCAACAGAUGAUUUUGGUCAUUCCUCGAUGAUAUAAAAUGUGCCGUGUUAGGAAUGGGGAUAGAAGAAUUAGAAACAAGAAGAAUGGAUUCGUAAACAGCAGUGCAAUGAAGGGUCACAAGUGCCGUAAUGGGAACGUGUAGAAAAGCCUGUGAGGACCCAGGGAAGGCGGAAGUCGGAGUGGGAAAGUCCAUCGUGGUGAACAUGACCCCUAUGGAGUAGGAGUCAUGAUAAUUCCCAUAUUUCAGAAGAGGAAACAGAAGAGUAGAGAGUUUAAGGACUAUACUCAGAUUACACAGCUGGUGAGUGCUGGACCUGGGAUUCACCCUGUGACCAUGUAAACACAACGUUGCCCUGGUUGUGAAUAAAUAGCAGUAACAAGAACAAAGACUUCUGACUUUUCAGGUCAAAUCCGUCUUGGGACCCAUAACCCACUUGGUUUCAACCCCUGAGAGACAGUUUUCUGGUACCAGUCUAGACCACUUGGCACCGAAGCAAAUAGGAACAUACUUACACUCACAUUCACACACGCACGCACACGUAUGCUCCCAGGCCCACUUUGGAGUGGACUUACCCCCUUUCCGAGACCUGAACUUCUACCUUCUGAAGAACACAAUGCAAAGGCGGUAAAAUGUGGUGGUUUCUCAAGCAAUUCCCUAUUAUGAAAUGGAACGAGAACGUUGCCAUGAUAUAAAUUCCGGGGAUAUUACAUGAAGGAGCCAGCUACUGUUUUGUAUAGUGAUUGGUCCUCCUUGGAAGAAUUUCAAAUGGUCAUUAUUCAUUGGCAUAGCCUCGGGGAAGAUGAGGGGGAUAAAAAAAAAUUGUAAGUGAGAGCCCUUGAGGCUUUUUAUCAGGCGCCACCUUGUCAUAAACACAAUGAGAUUGGGUUUCCUGGGUGUUCUCAGGGCUCAUUAUGCAACAAGCCCCUGGCUCUGCCCUUCCCAGAAAAGGUCCAGAAGCCACUCUUGCAAUGUAGUCUCCCCGCUGACCUCAGAAGGGCAUGGACAGCCAGGGCUCAGAGUGUGAUUCUCAUAGUCCUGGGAUGGAAAGAGGACUCAGUGUGGAAGGGAAAACAAUGAAGGAGAACACACCAUCAGGCGACUGUGUCCACCACCUCCUUCUCCUACCAUUUCUCGGAGUCCUGACCUCAGCCGUGGGCAGCAGUAGCCUUUGUAAGGAGAAAACCAAGACUCAAGCUCUAAUGAAUGGACUGACAGGUGAUUCAAAAGAGGUGUCCUACUCCUUUUAUCAUGUGAGAAUGGAAGUCUUCAACCAGAAGAGGACCCUCACCCAACCAUGCUGGCACCUUGAUCUUGGACUUCCAGCCUCCAGAACUGUGAAAAAUAGAUUUCUGCGGUUUAUAAGCCAAAAAAAAAAAAAGGUAUUAUAUGGAAUAUGUCAACCAGAAAUGUAAGGAACCAAAAAAAUGGGGAAGGGGACAUGAAAAGAGACUUAUCGUUAGUGAAAGGAAGAUGAUGGCCCUGAGAGGGGAGGGGUUGGCUGUGGCUGAUACACCACAACCUGCCACGUCAGUGACAGCAGUGCUGUGAGAAUAGGCAAGUCCCCAAAUCGCACUGGUUUGGCACCAUGUUUAAUGUUUGCUUAAAGACCAGUCUCAGGGCAUCCUUCGCUAACAGCCUUCCACACAGUAUUUCACAGAGCCAGCCAGAUGAUGGAGGGUGACAGAGAACGUGCAAGAUCACGGGUGUUCAUGGGCCAGGCCCGAGUGUCACACAUCACUCUCGCCUACAUUCCUGACCUGGAACCGAGCCAGCGUGGGCCCACGCAGAUACCAGGACAGCCACUUCCCAGCCAUGACUGUACGCUGUAGAAGGGAAGCCUGAAUCUUCCGUGGGUAGCCGCUGUCUUCGCCACACCUGCACGCAUAUUACGAUACAACGAAUGAACUUCAAAAGAUUGUUUGAGAGAGUCCCACUCUCCAAUCAGUCACUCAUUUCAAGGAAGCACUCACAUGGCAUGCGAUUUACAGCAGGACUGCUUUAUCCUGAGGGUCAAACCACUGAGAAGGGAACCUGUGAGUUUACUGUAAUUUGUGACCUAAAUUAUGUUUCUUGUGAAUACCACUCUUUUUAUGGUGCUCUAAUUUUGAAACAUUUUCUGUUAGAUCCUAGGUGCCUGGAAAUGUUACUGUAUUAAUCACUUUCAGAAUUAGCAUUUUUUAAAUGGUAAAUCGAAGUUUGUCAGGAUGCUUUAUUAUGGUAUCAUGGACACUUCCUUUGGUUGAUAUAUAUUGUAGAGACGUGACAAAGACAGUAAGACCCAUAUCCGUAUCUAUGUGGUGUCUGUGUUUUUAAGACACUUCAAAUUAAAAAGGGGUUUGCAUUUAAUGAAUGUUUAAACGAUUUCCUUUGUGUCUUGAGCUGUCAUCCUGAUCAUUUGCCCUGUAGUUCUUGUUAAGCAGCAGUAGCAGAAGUCCUCAGACAUAGAAUAGAGGGGGCUAUCUUCUGUCCGCCUGGAAUGUGUUCAUAUGUGGUCAUGAGGGGUCCUCUGUAAGCAGAUAGUGGGAGCAGGGCAUUACCAAAUCUUUACAGUUCCAAAAGGUGAGGGGCCUUUCUCCAUCUCAUCCUUUCUGAGCAUUUCAGUUCUGAACACAUGAACAGCAGAAACUCUGGGUGUACAGGGGAGGAAAAUGAUAAUUUACAGUCCCGUGUAAGAUACUUAUUUGAAACUAGAUUGAAAUAUGUCUAUAUCAGAUCUCCAUUUUUCUGGGUAUCAGUCUAUCUGUAUCUACCUUGUUUAUGUUCUGUCAUUAUUCCCACCGAGUAAGUCUCAUCCUUGUGAUACAGUUCUUCAUGUCAGGAAUUGUUUCUUCUAUUAUUUUUAUAACUCUACCUCUACCACCAAAGUGUGUGCAUGCAUGCAAGCACACACACAUGCACACACAUACAAACACACACACAUGACACAGCUUGAAAAGGCAGCCCAUGACUUGAAGUUGAUUUUGAUGUUUUCUUCUUGAAGAAGCAAGAUAUAGUGGCAAAAGAAAAGACCACAAUUCAAAAUGAUAUAUUAGAAUCAAGUAAGACAGUGAGUAAGUGAUGGGAGAGCUCCAGCAUUUUAGACAGCAAUGGAGAAAAGUGGGGGAGCGUGAAGUGUAUACUCUAGGUUGAGUUAUCCUACGUUAAAGGGCUAUUCCAGAAGUUACACUCAGUAGUUCAGUUUACACUCUAUUUGUCAGAACCUAGCUACAGGUCCGUACUUGCUGCAAGGGAAUCUGGGAAGCAUAAAUUUUGGUUGGGUGUUUUGUGACUAGGAUAAAAUUGGAGUAUUUUUAGUAGAGAAGGGGAGAAUGGGCUUUAGACAGGCAAUUCACAGUGUCUAGCAGAUCCAAGUUAUGCUUUGGGGGCCAUCACUGGAAAUGGAGUCCUAGAACAAAAUACAAUCAGUUAUAGAAAAAAGGCUAAACUCGGGGUGCCUGGGCGGCUCAGUCGGUUAAGCGUCCGACCUCAGCUCUCACGGUUUGUGAGUUUGAGCCCCACAUCAAGCUCUGUGCUGACAGCUCGGGGCCUGGAACCUGCUUCAGAUUCUGUGUCUCCCUCUCUCUGCCCCUCCCUGCUCAUGCUCUGUCUCUCUGUGUCUCUCAAAAAUAAAUAAAUGUUAAAAAAAAAAAAAGGCUAAACUAUGUUUUCCCCAGUCUGAGUUGUCUUAUGGAAAUUUCAGCUCUGUUAUGAGUUUUUGCUACAACUAAGGAUUCCUGCUGUUGUGGUGACAGUGGUUCGUUGGAAAAUACCACAUCAGCAAGCAGAGGGAAGAAGCCAUGUCAAGCGAAGACAAAACCCAAGCACAAUCUUCUUUUUACUGAAACACACGAGAGCUUUGCCACAGCAUAAAUGAUGAUGACGGAAGUGUCUACAACAGCAAGCAGGGCUCACAAACACCACCGGACACUCCAGCGCUUGGAAGGGCGCUCCGAAAUUACACACGGGGGUUAGGUAUCACCGACUCGAGGGGGUGGAAAAAGCAUUCUCGAUCCUUCUCUGCCAGAAGAGGUCUCUCCGCAUAGCUGGAAUGGGGAUGAGUGAGGUCAAGUUAGGCUCAAGCACGGCCCAAUGUGAACUAAGAAAACCCUUCACACUGUCUGGGGAAUGUUAUCCAAGUACUUAAAUUAGGCCGACGCCCUAAAACAGCCUAACACAAGAAAGACUUUGGUAUCUCACUUCUCUCCCAUGUCUUCUUCCUUUUGCCCAGCCAGGGGGAGUAAGUGGAUUCAUUGCCUGAGCAGAAUUAGGUCAGACCAGAGCAGAAUAUCAAGCUGACAGAGGGGAGCUUCGUGCCAACAUCGAUUAAAUGAGAAGGGAAAAGAAAGUCUCACUCUGAAUCCAAAUAUGGGAGUUUAGAAGGGAAAAGGCUAAUGUUAGGCUACUUAAGAAUUAAUACAAAAAGACGCAUUUGUUAUCAGAGAAUCAAAGAGUUUCCAUCCAUGCGAAUACUUUGUUGUAAAGAAGCCACGUUUUUAUGUUGAUAAAUCUUUAAGACGCUCAAGCUUUAGCUGUUAGGCUAAAAACUGUUCAUUUGUUUUUUAGAAAGCCUUCAAACACUGUGCAUAUUACAGCUCUUCAAAUAUAUAUCAUGGCAUACAUUAUUCUUGCAGAAUUUUUUUGUUAAGAGUGUUCUGACUGCCACCUUCCACCCUGGAACUGAAAGAGAGGCUCUCCGUCAUAAAGGGGACAGCUUCUGACAGUCUUGUCUCCACAAAUGACAAUCUCAUUAAUGAUGCUAAGUUUAUAUUGUAAAUAUAUUAUCACCACUCUCAUACCAACUGCUUAUGUUAAAAAAUAAUUACUAAUUAGUUCCAGCAAGUGCCUUAUAAAAAGGUGGCUAAUUUUAACUAUUUUUCUUCUCCUUAUUUCAGAAAAAAAAAUGAGUGAUUCAGAGAAAGCAAUCUGUUACCUGGAGCAAUUUAGAAUUUUUUAAUGAUCUGUGAUCAGAGUUUUUAAUAAUCUCAUGAAAUGGUGGUUCAGGUAACAAGAAGUGACUUGUAGCUUCCAGCUUGUGUCUUUAUCCUUGAAAUUUAAUGAUUAAGAAUAAAGCUAUUUUUUAAACUUU